RNAcentral lists this ribosomal RNA (187 nucleotides) under uncultured rumen bacterium. RNAcentral describes it as "partial 16S ribosomal RNA". It matches the Rfam family "Bacterial small subunit ribosomal RNA", at positions 340 to 524 of the family's 1533-position model. The record is from RNAcentral.
UACGGGAGGCAGCAGUGAGGAAUAUUGGUCAAUGGACGAGAGUCUGAACCAGCCAAGUAGCGUGCAGGAUGACGGCCCUAUGGGUUGUAAACUGCUUUUAUAUAGGGAUAAAGUGAGGGACGUGUCCCUUAUUGUAGGCACUAUAUGAAUAAGGACCGGCUAAUUCCGUGCCAGCAGCCGCGGUAAU